Molecule: long non-coding RNA, 3072 nt
Organism: Anopheles coluzzii
Lineage: Eukaryota; Metazoa; Arthropoda; Insecta; Diptera; Culicidae
Exons: 2
Source: RefSeq, a predicted model, not a curated record
GUUCCCCAAAAACAAACCACUCAGUGCCGCUCAACAGCUCAAGCGAAGACGGUUGUGAAUUGUAGUAGGGAAGUUCGGUUCGUCGUCUGUAAUUUGUUUUGCAUCAAUUCAAUCCAAAAUGGCGGUUCGAUUCCUUAUCAUCAGAAUCCACGGUAGGAAACAUCCAGCAUCGAGUAUAGUGACCUAAAUCAACAUCAACCACGUGCGCACCGAUGCUUAUCAAUUGCCAACAGGAAUGCUUUUCCUGUUGGAAAUGCGCACAGCAAUACAAAAAUCAUAUUACGAUGACAGCCAGCCAAGCAAGAGACGCUCGCCCAAUCGGUCGAAAAUUAUUUAAACGUGACCAAAUGAAGAAAUGACAGCAACGACAACAACAACAACAACCACAACAGAAGAAGCAAAACACCCACAGUGACAUGCCCGGGACGCCGACAAAUGCGUAAAGCAAACUGACCGCCCGCAGCAGCACCCCUAAUGCGGAAAUCAUUAAGACAAGAUCUCUUGCCCGGGCCCGAAAAGGGGAAAAGCGAGAACGAAACAGCCCGGAAACAAUACAAUGCAACAAACACGAAAGCGAACCGAACCGAGCAGCAGAGAUUGCUCUGGGUUUUUUGUUCCAUUUCAUCCCGACGUCACCGACCGGAAGUCACCCACGGAAGUAGGUGCCCAGCCACAUAUGUUUUUUUUUUCUGUGUACGAUCGCGAUCUCGACGAUCUGUCAGCCAGGCUUGGUCAGAGAGAGAGAGUGUGGGCGAUACCGCACCGACGAGCGUAGUGUCAUAGCACCAGCAUCCCCCGCAGAAUUCUUUCCUCUUCGAUCAUUUAUCGCUUUUUUCUGCUUCUGAUGCUGCAACGGCGGAGAAAGAAGGGGGCGUCAGGCAUCUUUCUUUAUCUCUUUCGCUUUCCCUGUCAACGGCGUGUGUGUAGCUACGGAAUCAGUUUUGCCCCGUUCAAAUUGGGUGUCACUAGCAGUGGACAGACCAGACACAUUUUCUUCCAUAAACACACACACAAUUGCUAUUUCCGAGACAAAAAGUGUGUCUCUCGGUUCUGAUAAAUAUUGUGACAACAAUGGCAUUGCUGCAAAGCCACUCUGGGACGGUUUCUUCCAUUGGCGACCUAACCCGAUGACUCACAAUCCCGGGUGACAGCGCUAAAAGCCACAACCAUCACACUACUCACUACUCUGGCUGGCAUAUCUGGAGGACGGUGAUUACACUACAAUGGUGCACAACAUUGCUCGCUCGCUUUGUACAGAGAUCAACGGCACUACUAUAUGCUGCCCUGUCAACCCCGUGUGACGUCAGUCAGUGCGAGCUGCGGACUUCUCUAUUGUCAUUGGAACCGAGCAAUGUAAAGGGCCGACUAAACGGGGUAAACUGUUAUCAGGGCGAACAUGCUACCAACCGGGGCUACCUUGCGCUUCCGGUAGUUGUUAGUGUGUGUGUCGGUGAGAGAAAGAGUGUCGGCGUGACUACACAGCAUCUGUAUCUGAUUUCCCGGAAGAUGUACGUACACGCGCGGCCCGGCCGAACGAACUGGUUGCUGGUGGCAGAUGGUGGCGAUGGGUACACACAAGUAUACAAUUAGGACCUGCCAAUUAGAUAUCGGAGACACACGGGCACACACUCGGAGGGCUGCUGGUUGGGUUGAGUUUUUGUGGCGGAAGUGCUAGUGGAAGUGCUUUGGUGAUGAACCCGAGGGGCUGGAGUUUGGUUACGAUCAUCUCGGUUGCACUAAUCACAUUAGUAGUCGUUCACUAACCUGUUGAGCACGUCAAGGUCGAAGUUCUGACCGGGAGUAGCGCACCGAGUAGCACUCUUUUCAGAAUGUUAUGGAUGAAAUUUUGCAUAUGAAGCAAAGUUGCGUGUGUUCGGUUGAUUCAACACAAACUGAACAAAUGAUCACAAAUUAUUGGAGAAGAGUAUAACUUGGAAAUGACAAUUCUGGGCAGUAAAUUGCAAAAGCAGGAAUUACUAUGUAGAAGAUAGUAACCUAUUGUCAUGGGAAGUCAACCAGUUGUGUGUAAGAGCUAGGUGUUCUUGGGAUAUUGCAAAACGCAUCCUAUGCCAAAAAUAUCCUCCUACGCAUCCUAUGGUAAGGGUGAUGCUUAGCGAAUAAUUUUGCAAUUGGAUUUAAGGGUGGAUCGGAUCAUUAGUAUCUUUUCGGAUCGGAUCAUUAGUAUCUUUUCGGAUCGGAUCAUUAGUAUCAUCAGCAUUCAAAAACUGAAGAAAUUUAGGACAAAAAGGAGUUAUUUAUAUCGUAAGGCAGGUUGGUUGAAGUCCCCCUUUUGCUGCAGAAAAUUUGAUGAGGUUAAAUGUUAUUUAGAGUCGUCUCUCGAAGUCGAAAGAUGAACAAUGGGGCCCUUCACGAUUCUAGUCAGUUUUUUGUAUGAAGUUUGCCAGUUGGAGGCUGAAAUCAUGUAAACACUCCAUACAAAUCCACAGAUAAAACUUGCCUGAUAUUUUCAGUCUAGAUUAUUCUAGCUUUAAAGCUAGAAUUAGAUUCGAGUACCAGCUCGAAAACUCGGUGUUGUUUACAUUUACCCCAAGGUGCAUUAAAGAGUUCUGGUGGUGGAAUCCAGAAUCAAUAUGUAUGUAGUCCAGGUGGUCUCAUAGCAUGUUUUUUAUAAUCAAAUUUGAACAUCACUUUUGACAGGACGGAUGACAUCUUUUGCUCAAACAAGCUUUCUGGAGGCUUGACGAAUACACAAAACACUCUUAAUAUCUUCAUUCAGAAACAGAAGCGAUAAAAUUCAGCCUUCUAAAUUCAUAUACCUUGGGAUAAGCCCACCUGUAUAUUAUACCCACUCAGAUAGCUGCUCGAAAACUGCUAUACAAAGCAAACAGCUGACAGGCUGAAAUUUCAGCCUACGAGCUCAAAACGGAAAGGGCCCCAAUAUUUGUUUUUUGUUAAUAAUAAAGAAAAGGAACAAAAAUCGGCAUUUAAGUUUUUUGGAUGUUUAGCCCGGCUUUAGACGGGCUUCAGAAAAAUCGCUCGAAAUGAGUAAAACAAGAUUUUCUUUUCCUUCCAAUCUAAAAGGCAGUUCGCAACACUUCUACCUUUCAUAUA